Molecule: long non-coding RNA, 4945 nt
Filed under: Sus scrofa (pig)
Lineage: Eukaryota; Metazoa; Chordata; Mammalia; Artiodactyla; Suidae
Description: lncRNA (ENSSSCG00015027972.1)
Source: RNAcentral
CCUAACUCUAUGUCUCGGUAUCUGCUCUCCACAGUACACAACCGAUACAGUUUUCUACAGCAAAGGCUUUAAGGGAGACACUAGCUAGGAGCGUUUGCUUUUACUGACAUGCAUAUAUAUUGCAUGAUCAUGUAUAUGGCUGAAGUCCACUACGGGGAAAAAUUGUUAGUAAAUGUUGUAACUGAGCUUUCGAUUGAUGGAGUAGUGAUUAGACUUGUGAGAGCAUGAAAGUGUUUCUGUCAUAUAGGACCAUAUAUUUGAGAAUGAAUUUGAGACAUGUAUAGUGUGAAAAUGCUUUACAUUAAAAAAAUUUUUUUUACAAGCAGCAUUAAUCAAUGUAGAAAACCACAUGAUAUCAUUAGUUUAUAAUACUGAUACUAAUGGCUAUCAUUUGAGUACUGAGUUGAUGCAGGAAAUGUGCUAAGCCCUUUACAUACAUUACCCCAUUUAGUUCUAAAGGCUAAUGUCCAAACAAUAUUAAUUCAUGAAUUAGUUAAUUGCUCCUAAGAGUUUCAGCUUUAGCCAGGAAGUACAUUAGCACUAGAUGUGGAAAUUGCUAUCCUGGCUAUAUAAUGAGUGUGUUCAUUCAGAUGUUAGUGUAUAAUAGUAGAUCUUGGGAACAGAAAUACCAUGGCAUUUAUUAGCUUAGUCCAGUAAAGUGUAUACCAUAGGAUAAUUAUGAACUUUCCAACUACAUUAUUUUAGAAAAAAAUACUAUUUUCCUCAUGUGAAAAAAAAUCGCAUUUCUAAUAGAUGACUUGGGAAAUUAUGAUGCAAUAAAUCUGUGUUCAAUUUACACCAUUUCUAUCCACGUAUUUCUUUUAAAAUCUGAUUCCCUUCCCCUGCUAGUGAUUAUUCUAAUCCUUAGGCCAGAAUAACUCCACGUGCUAGUUUAUUAACGGGGAACAUCUGCCCUCAUGAUGGUCCUGAGGGCUGUUAACCUGAGGGAUGUGCCCCAGCUGCUGGUUUCCUUGGUAACUGAUAAGCCAACCUGAUGUCUGUUCCUCCUAUAAAUGGUAGCCUCCUUCUCCCCCAACUAGUAAAGAUCACUGCCAGGUCCUUGUUGCAGUGGGUUGCUGUCUGCCAUGGAAUGUUUGCUCCAGGACCUUUUGCUUCAGACAUGUAAGAUCCCCUUGCCAAUAAGCCAUUGAUGUGUCUUUCACCAUCCCUGGGCUCUUUCUUCAGUCUUGAGGCUGGGAAACUACAAGGCUAAUAGGCCUGCAGAGUGCAGCCCAAUGGGGAGAAUAUCAAGAAUGGGAAAACUGGCUGAGAGUUCCAUCAACACUACCAGAUCCCAAAGCAGGGCUUUCUGGCUAUUUGGAGUGGGAUUAGACUUUGUCAAAUGCUUUUCCUGUGUCAGCUGAUACUAUCAUUGUUUUUGUUUCUUUUUUUUUUUCUUCUUUAGGCUUGUUUAUAUGGUGGAUUACAUUGAUUUUUUAAAAUAUUUAAUUGGCCUUGCAUAUAUGGAAUAAAUUGCACUUGGUUAUGUUAUAUGCUUUUUACACAUUGUUGCGUUUGAUUUGUUAAUAUUUUGUUGAGGAUUCCGCAUCUAAGUUCUUGAGACAGAUUGGUGUGUAGGUUUCCUUUCUGUACUAUCUUUGCCUGGUUUUGGUGUUGGGGUAAUACUGGUUUUACAAAAGAGAUGAGAAGUGCCCCCCUUUUCUUCUAUUUUCUGGACAAGAUUAUGUAAAACUGACAUUAAUUUUUUAAAUGUUUGGUAUGGUACUUUCUGGGCCUGAAGAUUCUCUUUUGGACUUUCAAAUUACAAAUUUCAUGGUUAAAAAAAAUCAAAUAGAUUUUUCAUGCAGGUUGAACUUUGGUAUUUUGUGGGUUUUCCCCUGGUUGCUUUGAAAGGAGAGGAAAACAUUCAAUCAGAGGGUCACAUAUAAUAUGAAGAGGUUACUAGUAAUUUGAAACAUUUGUAAAAGUAUCUUCCACUCAGAAUUUUUUAUUAUGGAUUAUUAAUCAGGAAUUUAAAGCAUUGCUAAGUGCAAUGUUGAGGAUUUAAUUGGCUUUUCCUUCUUUUAGCCCAAAUUUCUGGUUUUUAUUUGCUCUCUUUUCAGAUUAUUGAAAGUAAAUGAUUCAACUUUUAUGCACCCAAACCCUAAAAUCCUAAUGAGCAUUUCACCUGAAAUCAUACAUGGAGUCUAGAAAAUAAAAACCUCCUCUGCUGUUAAAAUACUACUUCAGAUACGUAUUUGCUAUUUUACAGCUGUAUUGAUCUUGCACACAAAUACAAACAUCAGGAUGAUCAUACCUUCCACUGAUGAUGAGCAUUUUAAAAAAAUGCAUAUAUCCAUCUUACAUCCAGGAAUGUUUCCUUUUUUUACAUCUCUGAGUUGUAUGGAGGUAUUUUUUCUGCGUGGUCUUGAUUUUAUGGAAGGCAGUGGAUAGCUUAGUGCCUGAAGCAAUACAUACUGUAAAUUGCAGUAAAUCAAAUUAACUUCAUUACAAUGCUUCUGAGAAAAGUUAAUCAGAGAAUAAAAAUCUCAUUUUCAUUAUUGAAAAUGAAAAUUUCAGAUUGUGUAAUAUGAUACUGAAUAGAAAAAAAUAAAAGGCCAAUUGUUUGUGAGUACAUUGAGGAAGGGUAAAAGCUGUCUCUACUUUGUUCAAUUAAAAGUACUUGACCAAAGAACCACAGUGUUCCCCCUUCUAAGACAGAUUAGAGAAUCCUCAGUGGGAAUGUGUUCAGUUUUCACUUGAGUCAUUUUCUGGAAGCUUGGAGUGUGCUUGUCAUGGUGUUAAACAGAGCACCAAUGUAACUUUGCUUUGAAUUCAAGUGUUGUUAUCUGCUGAUUGAAAAUUAAAAAGUGCAUUGAGGGUGCUCUCAAAAACACCCAUUAUUAACUUCAGAAAACAUGGGUCUGAGGCAAGAAUAUUUUUAGUUUUGCCUAUUAUUAUAACACACAAUAAUUCAUGAUUUGUGACUUACAUGGUUUUUCAUCAUAGAAAUUUAAAAUUAUGCAAUUUAAUAGGGUUUAUGAAAAUAUCCAAUUAUCCGUGAGCCUCCAAAUGUUCUAAAAAUGGAACCCAAUCAUCAGAGUAGCAAAUGAUACUGGGAAAGAGACAUUUAAUUCCAUGACCCAGCAUCUCAGUAUGAUGCUUUUCUUGUCUGUUUAGUCUCAGUGCCUUUCAGAGGGCUGCCACACAGAAGGCACUCAAAAAUACAUUGGUCAUUAAAUAAACAAUUACAGAUCACAUAGCUUUUAAUUGUUUUUCUCAGAGGGUCUAGGUGCCUCCCACACAAAUGAAUGAUAUAUAAUACAGGAUCACAUUAAUGAUUUUAGUCAAACAGAAUGAAAUGGAAUAAGCAGUGGCUUGGGUCACUGCUGUGACAUGUUAUUCGAUCCCUGGCCUGGGAACUUCCACAUGCCUCAGGCAUAGCCAAAAAAAAUUUUUUUUAAAGAAUGAAAAAGUUUAGAAAUGGAAAAAAAACCAUUUGGUUAAUGUAUGGAUUUGCUUCCAUGUCAGCUUAAAGUGUAGUGAAUCAUAAACACUUAAACAAUUCAGUAUGAUGGCAUUUUUAAAUCUACCUUUUGCCUUAGGCAUCUCACCCUCAGCUGAAUCAUGUACUGACUAGGCUGCUAUUAAUAAUCCUUAGAUAAUAAUUACUGAGAUUUUUGCUUUAUACUGCAAAAACUGCAUACCACCUCAAAUGGCUUGGACAACUAUAGUCUAACACUGAAAGUAGCUCCUUUCCAAAAUUAUUUUUUCUAAAUAAUUGCCCAAGAAACAUGUUGGAGAGUAAGUGUACACUGGAGCUGGUGCACUGUCCUGAGCUGGAAGUUACAGAUUGCAAAUGGCAGCUGCCUAUUCCUAUUCCAUGCCUGGGUGUUCCCCCUCCCGCUGCUACUGUUCCCUUGUCUGCUGCCUGCAGGGUCCUUAAGGUUGGCUGCUGCCCAACUUCCUCCUUUAGGGCUGGCCCUGCUAUGGCUGAUCACAGAAUCAGGCCCUACUCAGAAUGUGGCCAACCUCAUUCCUAGGGCCAUACACCUGGGCUCUCCAUCACAUGCCUCCUGUGGGAAAACACUUAGCUUCAUUCAAGUAGCUAGAAAGAACGUGGAGCCUGGCACUGCGGAAUAGCCUGUAGUUGCAGCAAUGAUGCCAACGCAAUGGGAGUUGCCUUGCCUCAGGCUAACAGCCCCUCUUAUUUGUGUUUAAAGCUGGCUGAGGAAUACCAGGAUGGCUGCGGCAUGUUGAAGCCAUAAUUCUUGACUGCUUCAAAGUACAUCUUAGAGAAAAGUGUGAACAGCAGGAGUUUGGAAAAGAACUCUACCCCCAUAUUUUCAUUUGUUUGAUUGUAUUUCCAAACUUAUAAAAUAAAAUUUUAAAAAGAAAUGCGGGAGUUCCCUUCGUGGCUCAAUGGUUAAGGAACCCGACUAGUAUUAAUGAGGAUGCCGGUUCAAUCCCUGGCCUCGCUCAGUGGGUUAGGAAUCUGGUGUUGCUAUGAGCUGUGGUGUAGGUCACAGACACAGCCCAGACGCCACAUUGCUGUGGCUGUAGUAUGGGGUGGCAGCUGCAGCUCUGAUUCAACCCCUAGCCUGGAAACUUACAUAUGCCACGGGUGUGGCCCUAAAAAAGCAAAUAAAUAAAUAAAUGAAGAUAUGCACUUACUAUGUGGAAUUUUUAAUUUAAAAUGAACCCCAAAUGUGAGCAUAUUGGUGAUAAUCUUUGGUUAGUUUAAAACAUUCCCUUUGAGGAGUUCCCGUCAUGGCUCAGUGGUUAGCGAAUCCAACUAGGAACCAUGAGGUUUUGAGGGUUCGAUCCCUGGCCUUGCUCAGUGGGUUAAGGAUCUAGCAUUGCCGUGAGCUGUGGUGUAGGUUGCAGACAUGGCUUGGAUCCCUUGUUACUGUGGCUCUGGCAUAGGCCAGUGGCUACAACUCCGAUUAGACCCCUAGCCUGGGAAUCUCCAUAUGCCUCAGGAACGGCCCUAGAAAAGACCCCC